This is a long non-coding RNA of Ruditapes philippinarum (Manila clam), 983 nucleotides long. RefSeq lists it as uncharacterized. The record is from RefSeq and is a predicted model, not a curated record. NCBI's taxonomy places the organism in Eukaryota, Metazoa, Mollusca, Bivalvia, Venerida, Veneridae. The transcript has 2 exons.
AUGUACAUGCGUGUUAAUUGAAAUAUUUUUCGUUCAAAAAUGAUUUUAUAUGCUUAUUUGCUAAUUUGAAGGGCGAUAAUCGAUGUAAUGUUCCGUAAAAGUCGCGCGUCACAGGUCGAAUGUUUACAUCGUUUAAGCUCAAUUUUCCUAAAAUAUUGCCACUAUUGGAGGCGAACAUUUAGAAGACAAAUGAUUAACAGACUCAAGAGAUACCAUAGCAUUGGCUAAAUGCGCAUAUGUUUUGUUGUGGUUACGUAUGUGAUUUGUAACCGGAAUUCGCGAGUUUACAACUAUGAUUGAAGUAGACUAAACAUCUUGUUUACAUGCUAUUAUAUUAUGAUCCACAAACUCUUCAACAAUAACUUCCGGUAACUGUUACCAGUUAUAAACAAUGAAGUGUUUAAUUGGUUAAAUAAAAACGACGAUGACACUGCAUGAAAGCACAUCUUCAACCGGAAGCUUAUAUAAAAAUGGGCACACUGGAUUACUUUUAUAUGAACAACACCGUUGAUGUUGAGGAUUUACAGGUUCUCAGUCACUGGAUGAUGUAUUUUCGUGAAUUCUUGCAUCUAAAAGUUCCACUAUUGGAUGGACACUUUUUCUCUUCAAGCAAACAGUGAUUUUUUUUCAAAAGCUUGUUGUGCAGGAAAGACACGGUUUAAGGAAACAUUCAAUGAAUGGCCGAUUUAAUUAAUAGGAAUUUAAAAGAAAAUCAAGUCAAGAUUUUUAUGAACUUAUGAACUGAACAUUUCAUUAUUGCAUUUCAGUAUUGUUCAAAAAGGCCCCUGCCAUGAAAAUCUUAAUUGGAACUGAGUUAAAAAAGUAUCUCAUUAAAUAAUCCAGUAUUUAAAGCACCACAUGAACCUAUAAAAAUUGAACAUUUUGAUAUUUAUAAUAUGUUGUGAAGUAUAUGUGUAGAGAGCAAGUCAAUGAUAAUUGAAACUAUAAGUGAAUAAAUUUAUAAAUAAAAUUUUGCAAUAUAA